RNAcentral lists this ribosomal RNA (519 nucleotides) under uncultured bacterium. RNAcentral describes it as "bacterial SSU rRNA". It matches the Rfam family "Bacterial small subunit ribosomal RNA", at positions 28 to 526 of the family's 1533-position model. The record is from RNAcentral.
GACGAACGCUGGCGGCGUGCCUAAUACAUGCAAGUCGAGCGGACGAAUUUUGGUGCUUGCACCAAAUUUUCGUUAGCGGCGGACGGGUGAGUAACACGUGGGUAACCUACCUUAUAGACUGGGAUAACUUCGGGAAACCGAGGCUAAUACCAGAUAAUACUUUUGAACUCAUGUUCAGAAGUUGAAAGAUGGUCUUGCUAUCACUAUAAGAUGGACCCGCGGCGCAUUAGCUAGUUGGUGAGGUAAUGGCUCACCAAGGCAACGAUGCGUAGCCGACCUGAGAGGGUGAUCGGCCACACUGGGACUGAGACACGGCCCAGACUCCUACGGGAGGCAGCAGUAGGGAAUCUUCCACAAUGGACGAAAGUCUGAUGGAGCAACGCCGCGUGAGUGAUGAAGGAUUUCGGUUCGUAAAACUCUGUUGUAAGGGAAGAACAAGUAGCGUAGUAACUGGCGUUACCUUGACGGUACCUUAUUAGAAAGCCACGGCUAACUACGUGCCAGCCGCCGCCGUAAAAC